GGGGGCUCACUCAUAUUGACUUGCGCGGAACCAAGUUUUUGGUCUGAGGGUUACGCCACCUUCCUUCGCACACGCCAAACAGACAUCAAUAUGACGAGUACAGGACAGUUUUCAGUUACGAGUGACAAGGCGUCCACCAUAGAGAAAGUAAAAUAAUUUUACUUAUUUUACUUACUCUAUGGCGUCCACAAAUUGUGUAAAAAAGGCGUCUAAUCGAUGUAAUCGGUAGCAUUGAUGUAAACAACUUUAGUGCCGGCAUUGUUUCUUGCUUUCUACAAGUGUUUUAUGAAAUUUAUUAAAAAAUGAGUUCAAUUCUUCAACGUUGCUGUGUACCUCA
Molecule: long non-coding RNA, 337 nt
Organism: Dendroctonus ponderosae (mountain pine beetle)
Lineage: Eukaryota; Metazoa; Arthropoda; Insecta; Coleoptera; Curculionidae
Exons: 2
Source: RefSeq, a predicted model, not a curated record